GCAGAGCAUGGUGGCGCUGUACCUGUAGUCCCAGCUACUCGAGAGGCUGAGGUGGGAGGAUCGCUUGAGCCCAGGAGUUCUGGGCUGUUGUGCGCUAUGCCAAUUGGGUGUCCGCACUAAGUUCGGCAUCAAUAUUGUGACCUCCUGGCAACGGGGACAACCAGGUUGCCUAAGGAGGGGUGAACCGGCCCAGGUUGGAAACGGAGCAGGUCAAAACUCCCGUGCUGAUCAGUAGUGGGAUGGCGCCUGUGAAUAGUCACUGCAGUCCCACCUGGGCAACAUAAGACCCCGUCUAUA
Unclassified non-coding RNA from Callithrix jacchus (white-tufted-ear marmoset), 297 nucleotides. It matches the Rfam family "Metazoan signal recognition particle RNA". From Rfam's summary of the family: The signal recognition particle (SRP) is a universally conserved ribonucleoprotein. It is involved in the co-translational targeting of proteins to membranes. The record is from Ensembl. NCBI's taxonomy places the organism in Eukaryota, Metazoa, Chordata, Mammalia, Primates, Cebidae.